This 497-nucleotide ribosomal RNA is filed under the name uncultured bacterium. RNAcentral describes it as "partial 16S ribosomal RNA". It matches the Rfam family "Bacterial small subunit ribosomal RNA", at positions 28 to 507 of the family's 1533-position model. The record is from RNAcentral.
GAUGAACGCUGGCGGCGUGCCUAAUACAUGCAAGUCGAGCGAACAGACGAGGAGCUUGCUCCUCUGACGUUAGCGGCGGACGGGUGAGUAACACGUGGAUAACCUACCUAUAAGACUGGGAUAACUUCGGGAAACCGGAGCUAAUACCGGAUAAUAUAUUGAACCGCAUGGUUCAAUAGUGAAAGACGGUUUUGCUGUCACGUAUAGAUGGAUCCGCGCCGCAUUAGCUAGUUGGUAAGGUAACGGCUUACCAAGGCAACGAUGCGUAGCCGACCUGAGGGGGUGAUCGGCCACACUGGAACUGAGACACGGUCCAGACUCCUACGGGAGGCAGCAGUAGGGAAUCUUCCGCAAUGGGCGAAAGCCUGACGGAGCAACGCCGCGUGAGUGAUGAAGGUCUUCGGAUCGUAAAACUCUGUUAUUAGGGAAGAACAAAUGUGUAAGUAACUAUGCACGUCUUGACGGUACCUAAUCAGAAAGCCACGGCUAACUACGUG